This 681-nucleotide ribosomal RNA is filed under the name Triticum aestivum (bread wheat). RNAcentral's name for it is "partial small subunit ribosomal RNA". Lineage: Eukaryota; Viridiplantae; Streptophyta; Magnoliopsida; Poales; Poaceae. The record is from RNAcentral.
AUGCAGGGUGAUGAGGAAGACCAGGAUGACAACAAUUCUGGUGGCAACAGUGGCAAUGGCGGAAACAAUGGAGGGAACGAGGAUUCUGCAGGUGAGGAAACAGAGACUGAUGACGAGCAAUCCACACUUCAAUAUUUACUCGAAGAGAAAAAGGAUAUGAAGCCAAAGGGGCUUGACGAGGCAGUUAGCAUCUCUGUGAGAGAUGUUGUUAUGAUGGACGAGGAAAGUUACUGCAAAAUGCCACGCAUCCGCAUGUUUGAAGUGAAAGAAAUGUUGGAUCUCGACGAGCAGCCUAUUGCAGUGCUAGCGAGCAAAAUGUUCCAAGAGCUAUUGAGAAAAGAAGAAAUGGAACUGGGGAUGGCAUUCAAUCUUGAGGAUGUCUGCCCCAAGUGGAUUCGCAAGAAAAUCAUGAGGGAGAUAGGGGCUGCACAUGAACCCAAGGAAGUUGGUGUACCACCACUUCCAACACCAAAGAAGAAAAAGAGUGUGAGUUUCGUAUCAGAGCCAACGGUGUUGACGGAGACAGUGGAGGAACUGCGAGCUAUGCGUGCCCAAAAUGUUCAAGAACUGCAAGGUGGAAAGGAAACAAAGUCAGCCAUGAAGAAAUCUGGGCCUUUUCAGUUGCAACAUCAGGCAUUACAUCAUGCAAAAGAGGCAAGUUCUAGCACUCACAAGAACUAG